RNAcentral lists this ribosomal RNA (497 nucleotides) under uncultured bacterium. RNAcentral describes it as "partial 16S ribosomal RNA". It matches the Rfam family "Bacterial small subunit ribosomal RNA", at positions 28 to 507 of the family's 1533-position model. The record is from RNAcentral.
GAUGAACGCUGGCGGCGUGCCUAAUACAUGCAAGUCGAGCGAACAGACGAGGAGCUUGCUCCUCUGACGUUAGCGGCGGACGGGUGAGUAACACGUGGAUAACCUACCUAUAAGACUGGGAUAACUUCGGGAAACCGGAGCUAAUACCGGAUAAUAUAUUGAACCGCAUGGUUCAAUAGUGAAAGACGGUUUUGCUGUCACUUAUAGAUGGAUCCGCGCCGCAUUAGCUAGUUGGUAAGGUAACGGCUUACCAAGGCAACGAUGCGUAGCCGACCUGAGAGGGUGAUCAGCCACACUGGGACUGAGACAGGGUCCAGACUCCUACGAGAGGCAGCAGUAGGGAAUCUUCCGGAAUGGGCGAAAGACUGACGGAACAACGACGCGUGAGUGAUGAAGGUCUUCGGAUCGUAAACCUCUGUUAUUAGGGAAGAACAAAUGUGUAAGUAACUAUGCACGUCUUGACGGUACCUAAUCAGAAAGCCACGGCUAACUACGUG